AACGAACGCUGGCGGCAUGCCUAACACAUGCAAGUCGAACGAGACCUUCGGGUCUAGUGGCGCACGGGUGCGUAACGCGUGGGAACCUGCCCUUAGGUUCGGAAUAACUCCCCGAAAGGGGUGCUAAUACCGGAUAAUGUCUUCGGACCAAAGAUUUAUCGCCUUUGGAUGGGCCCGCGUUGGUUUAGCUAGUUGGUAGGGUAAAAGCCUACCAAGGCGACGAUCCAUAGCUGGUCUGAGAGGAUGGUCAGCCACACUGGGACUGAGACACGGCCCAGACUCCUACGGGAGGCAGCAGUGGGGAAUAUUGGACAAUGGGCGAAAGCCUGAUCCAGCAAUGCCGCGUGAGUGAUGAAGGCCUUAGGGUUGUAAAGCUCUUUUACCCGGGAUGAUAAUGACAGUACCGGGAGAAUAAGCUCCGGCUAACUCCGUG
Molecule: ribosomal RNA, 433 nt
Filed under: uncultured bacterium
Lineage: Bacteria
Description: partial 16S ribosomal RNA
Rfam family: Bacterial small subunit ribosomal RNA
Source: RNAcentral